AUUGUUGCUUACCCAGUUGAAGAAGUUUGUUGCUUCUGAGAAGCUGGUGAAAGUUAAGAACUCUUACAAGCUUCCAUCAGGUUCUAAGCCUGCUGCUGCUGCUGUCCCGGCGAAGAAGAAGCCUGCUGCAGCAAAGUCAAAGCCUGCUGCGAAACCAAAAGCCGCCGUCAAGCCCAAGGCAAAGCCCGCUGCCAAGGCAAAACCCGCUGCCAAGGCAAAGCCCGCUGCCAAGGCAAAGCCCGCUGCCAAGGCCAAGCCCGCUGCCAAGGCCAAGCCUGCUGCCAAGGCAAAGCCCGUUGCUAAGGCUAAGCCCAAAGCAGCGGCUGCUGCCAAGCCCAAAGCUGCUGUUAAACCUAAGGCUGCUCCUGCCAAAACCAAGGCUGCGGUCAAGCCAAAUCUGAAGGCUAAGACGACGACAGCUAAGGUUGCAAAAACCGCUACGAGAACGACUCCAAGUCGGAAAGCUGCACCAAAGGCAACACCUGCCAAAAAGGAGCCGGUUAAGAAGGCACCUGCGAAGAAUGUGAAGUCUCCGGCGAAGAAGGCUACCCCAAAGAGGGGAAGGAAGUAGAAACACAGGAAUAGAGGAUUUGUGUGUAGGGAUAGUCCUGUAAAUUCCCUGAAUCUUUGGUUGAUUGGGUGUUUUGCCCAUGGGAAGCUAUAGAAAUCUGGUUUAUUUUCUCUUUUCUUAGCCUUGUCCUACAGUGUUUAGAUUUUUUUUUUCUCUUUUUAAUUCCGUUUAGGGAUAUGGAACAGUUCUUCUCUGUACUGAUAUAUCACUCUGCUUAUGAGAAUUAGAGUAUGAUGCCCUUACCUUAUAAAUGUCCAUUUCUAUUCAGCCAAUUUUGUUCUGUUUCUUAUUUCAUAUGAAUUGCAGUAUGAUAUUAGGUAGUUUUUUCCUCUGAGAAACGGGUAUAGCUGUAUAAAAGUUUGGUUGGGGAAGCGUGAAAAGCAGAUGCCGGAAUGUAGAAGAAGCGUCUUUUGAACGCAAGUAAGUUUAACAAAUUAACAACUCUUCUAUGAAUGGAGUACAGAACACUCUUAUGGUCAUCAUCUUUGCUUAAAUUGGAUUAGUUUUAGUUGAAGUUUUGUAUUAUUCUGUAUCCUUGCUGUUGCGCAUUGUUACCUACUUCAUAUCUGGAUCACUUUGUAUUGCUAAAUAUUUGGUGGUGUGUAGUAGUGUUCACGUGAAGCCAUGUUGGUUUAUUUGUAUAUUAAACAUUUGUUUGUGCAUUAUUGAGGUGAACAUUCAUUUAAUAAUCCACCAUUUUCAUGCCAAAAAGAUUCUAUUUCUAUGCUUAUGGGCUAUGGCUAAUCUAGAUUGAGGCAAAAUAGUUAAAAUGUUAAAUUUACCCAAAAGAGGUAAGGGUGCAAUUACACUCUGCUUUCUGGGAAAGAUAUCCUGCAAAAUUUUUCAACUCAUGAAAACUACAAGCAUAACAAAUAGUGAAUGUCUUUUGCUUGCAACUACACUCUGUUUUCUGGGAGUCUUUGCCUAAAGCUUAGGUUAAUUUAUGACUAGUGACUAGUCUUUGUAAAAUGGUGAAUGUCUUUGGCUAGCUGCAGAUGAUUAUCAUGAUUAAGUAGCUAAUUGUUCGAGAAUCCUUGAAAUCAGCUCUGUCUUUAUGAAGUGCUAGGAAUUCACUUGUAGAUAGAAGUAGUGACAGUAUAUUGAAACUGAACAUGAUAUUUGGAUAUUUACUUUCAAAUGCUUUCUACCUAGCUUGGAUAGUAGUGACGAUUAGUGCCAUGCUCUAGUGAAGAUGAAGAUACUAAUCCUUCUCAUCAGUGAAGCAUGCAUAGAAAUGGUAGUGGCAAUUAGUGCCAUGCUCUAGUGAAGAUGAAAUUACUCAUCCUUCUCAUUAGUGAAGCAAGCAUAGAGAUUAUGUGAAACAAUUGAGCAAGGUUAAGGUGCAUUCAUUGUGUUUAUACCUAGUGAUGAGUAGUAAACUGAAGCUUUUGCUUAAAAAACUUACUUCCUAGAACUAUGUUACAGUUGUCCUGUAUACUACUAGGAUUUCCAUUCCAAAUGUAUCUUGUUUCAAUCCUUUUCUCUUUUGGUAUCUCUUCUAAUAAUUUUUUAUGGUAGAAUGUACAUUAAUUGAAGUUAGAGAAGACACAGUCUGAUGUGAAGAUUUCUGUAAUAGUAACAUUUUUGUGAAGAUUUUGUCAUGUAAUUCUCCUUCUAUUUGUUAUUGACUUGGCUAGGUAUGUAGUUAAGGAAACAGUAUUUCUUGGCGCUCAUAGAUGAUGCAGAUGUAUGGAUGGAUCACCAUGUUGAUAUUAUCUAUUUUACCUAGUUGUUUUAUUUAUGGUUGGAGAAUAGCUUAUAUUACCUUUAAUAUACAUUUUAUACGGCAAGUCAAAUUUGUGUUGCAUGAAAUUCGCUUACCAUUAACUGCGGAACUUAAUGUAUUAAGCGAUCUUGUUUAAUAGCAUUAAACAGGUCUCAAAUCAAUGCACUUACUAUGUCUAGUUUAAGUGCUAAAUAGAUUAUCAAGCAAUCUCUUAGUAGAGUAGUUGCUAUAGCCAAUCACUUACAACAACAUUGCCAUAAUAAACAAUUAUUCUUGCUUCCAGCUGAAGCAUCACUUUUUACAUUUGUUGAGGGUAUAGAUAAAGUAAGUUGCUCGCAAAGAGGGAGUUCGCUGGCUGAUACCAAUAGAUAGAGCUACUAGUAAGAUAAUCAAAGGCGGUUGAGAGGCUCUUUUAGUGCUUCGUUCAAUGUCAGCAUGUUUUAGGUAUUGUUUUAUUGAAGCUUAAAUAUAGCAACUCAAUGUAUCCACAUAUAUCCCAACCGAUGUUUUUUUUUAUGAUAAGGGAAACCCGUAGCCGCUACUAUUUAGGUGCGCACAUGUUAAAACCCCCGCUCCUAUGCAAUAGCUCGCAAAUGGCAUAGGAGAGGUAAGCCCGGUGAGACAAGUUCGAUCCAGAAGGAAAAUCCCUUGCUUUCGCUGGCAAAGGGUUUCGAACUUGAGACCUCCAACAUGAAAAUCCCAAGCACAAACCACUUGACCACCCCGAAUAUUUUGAACUUGAGACCUCCAAUGUCAGCAUGUUUUAGGUAUUGCUGUUUGUUGGCACAACUGAUGCAGAACAUGCCCGUAGAUCUGUAGUGUAUGGUGUACAAUAUACUUUAUGAGGUUUCAUAACUCGUUUAGCUGGGGCAUGCUUGCUAUGUGUUGGUUUUUGCUAUGUCUUGUCUCUCUCUCUCUUUCUUUGUAUUAUUUCUUUCUCAACUUAUGGAGUUCAUUUGAUGUUUUGGUUGCUCUUUCAACAAUCAUGUCAGUGCUCAACUUAUGGGGUUCAUUUCUAGUUUUGGUUGCUCUUUUCUAUUCCAAACAAUCAUUGGACAUGUCAGUGUGUGUCACUUCUCUGUUUCAGUGCCCAACAUCUAAUAAAUUUGAUGACAUCAAACUAUGCUAAAUAUCCUAAUAUAUAUAGGUUUAAGUAUGGAGAGCCUCGAGUCACCGCCUUGCAUGUAAUAAUGCAAAACUGAGUGAUGCACUGCAAAGGAGAUGAAUCAUGGUCUUCUACACAUAUGUAUGUGGCCAUUAACUAAGCCUUCAGCCUAAAUCCUUUUAGUCUUCAAUCUCAAGUACUUAAAACAAUGAACUUUUCCUUCUUUUUGUUGCAGCAUAUGUUUGUGUUUUGUUGUUGUAUUUUUCUUUCACCCUGCUUCGGAAACUUCUUUGAGCUGUGGGUCUAUCAGAUACAACUUCUACCCCACAAAGUUAGGAGUAAGGUUCACAUACGUCCUACCCUCCCCAGACUCCACUUGUGGGAUUACACUAUGUAUGUUGUUGUUGUUGUUGUAUUGUGUGAUUUAUAGUGACUGAGAACGAUACAAUUGUUUGGAUAAAAAUAGUUGAUAGUUCCAAUUAUGAAGAGAUUGAUGUAGCAAUUAUACAUUGUUGCACUUUUUCCUAAGAUAAAAUGGUAAUCAAUGUCUAUGUGCUUUGUAUACUCAUGGACAUACAAUUUUAAACACGCAUUCAGUUCCUUGAACAAACCAGCUACCAUACAACUUAAGCAACAAGAAAACCUAAGCUUUAUACUUUGCUUAAGUCGAACUUCCAGAUAUAGUGGUUGUUUUCAUAGGCUUCUAAGACAUAACGGAAGAGCCAUAGAAAAUAAAAUGUCCUGACACUGACCUUCUAGUAUAGGGACAAGAUGACCAAUCAACAUCACAAUAAGCUACCAAACUGAAACAAUCAAUAGCAGACAAGAACUCAGCUAGACUAGGUGCUUGUUUGAUAUACUUCACUGCUCAAAUGGUUGCAUCCAUGUGAUAAGCCCUGCAUAGACAUUGAACCAAAAAAACUACAUAUGGUCUUGUGUUUGUCAAAUAUAGGAGCCUUUCAAUGAGUUUCUGAAAACUAGUAGGAUCGGUCAAGAGUUGAUCAUUAGUGUCUCCCAAAAGCUGAUCAAAACAACAAUAAUGAGGUUAGAAUUCCAUUCCAUCGGUGAACCAACAUGCUUGUCACCUAAGAGGCCCAUAUAAGCUAUCAACCCUAGGGAAAAGCACUCUUAUUCUUGGCAAACUCGAACCUUAAAAAAUAUCUCAAUUCACCCUUCUUUAAUCGUGUAAUACUUCUGGCAUAUAUCUUUGUGUCCUAUUGUAUGAAUCCUGCAUCAUUCAUGUUAAUGAGAAAAUCAUCUACAUAGAUGAGAACAACACCAAUCUUCCUUUUUUUUGGCGAAGUGGUAAAAGUUAUGAUGACUUCGAGAGAACCAGAAGGGCCUAAAACAAUGGUCAACUUUAUGUUUCAUUGUCUAGACUUCUGUUUAAGUGCAUAAAGUGACUUAAGAAGCAUGCAACAUUUUUAUACGCACAAAGAGAAUUGGAUCACCCUAUGGAGAGAUGUUGGGUUUGAUGAAACCUUUAUCUAAAAGGUCCUUUAAAUCAUCUUUUAACUCCUUAAACUUAGCUGGAGUCAUUUUGUAAAUAACAAGUUAGCGAUAUGCUGGGUCUCUGGAAGAAGGUGGGCCAUUCUCUUAAAAAACAGAUGAAAAUAGGCUAGGUAUCUGGAAGAAGGUCUAUUCUAAAGUCAAUCUCUCUUUCGAGACUCGGGAAAGAUAUCUGGAAAACACUUCUGGAAAUUCAUUCACUACAGAAAGUGAUAGAAGAGCUGGAGCUUCGAAAUGGGAUCCUUAACUUGAACUAGAUGGUAAAUGCAACCCUUAGAAAUCAUCGUUCUUGCCUUUAAGCAAGCGAUAAAGUGACUUAUAUGUAUUGAGGUACUACCAUUCUAUUCAAUGGCUGGUUCAUUCAGAAAUUGAAAUUUGACGACUCUAAUAAUACAGUCGAUUGAGGCAUAACAAGCGUGUAACUAGUCCAUGUCAAGGAUGAUAUCAAAAUCUAUCACGUCUAACUCUACUAGUUCAAUUGAGGUGAAUUUCUGAAAAAUGGAGAUCAAACAAUUUUUUAUACUCGUUUAGUUAGAACUCAUUCAUCAACGGAAGUAGAGACUGAUAAGGUAACUAUUAGGAUUUCGAGACUGCCAUUUAAUUGCAACAUAAGGAGUCACAAAAGAAAGUAUGGCUCCUUAAUCUAACAAGGCAUAAACAUCAAACUAAUGGACACGUAACAUACUAAUGACUACAUUAGGGGAACACUCUUGAUUUUGUCAAAUCUGAAGAGCAUAAAAUCUAUUUUUAUGUUGUCUGCCACCACUGCUAGGUGAGGUACCCUACUGAGUGGGGCGACCUGUUGGAGUUGUUGAAGUAUUCAAUUGAGUUUGCUGACGAACAUCCCUGUCUUUGCCUAUGGACGAUGGUCAAUCCCUCAAUUUGUGACAUUUCUUAUCACAUCCAAAACCCACACCCAACAGAGUUUAGCGCGAAAGUUAGAUCACAACUAUCUUUGAUGAAAAAAGCCUCAAGUUUAGGUAUAAAGAACAACCCAUGUCAGAGAGAUGACUUCUAUUGAACUUUUCCAUUAUAUGAAGGGAAUGAAUGCCUUAAUGGAAUGGAAUCUGGGAUCCAAGUAGAUUAGGUUAAUGCAAGUAUAAGUUCAACCCUUUUCUCAUCGGGCCGAGAUCAAUAGCCGUUCGACCUGAGGAAAGUGCAAGCAGAUUUAGAAUCCCGAACGUCUUGGUCUUUACCUUUGCUUCGAGUGACAAACACCAUAUCUAAGUAAGUGACAUGUCAUACAUUCUUUUAUGGUUCUUACCACACUUCUAGAAAGUGGGGAAAAUGCUUCCACUUAAAAUGUUGCCUUUUGACUUAGAGCCUGACAUCCUAUCGUUGUUAAACAUAGGCACUGGAGUACUAGUACUAGAUGAGGCUGGGCUUGAGUACUUAUGAUGAAACUGAGAUCAACUACCACCUCCUGAUUUUUUACAAGAGUAGAUCACACUGUCUAAUCUUUCCCUCUCGUUAUCCCUCACACUCUCCAUAAGUUUUUCCUUCUCGAUCCAUUGAGAAUGAGUCAUCAACCUAGAGAUAUCUAUCUCCUUAAUUAAUAUCUCAGUCUUACACUCCUUUAAAACCAUUUUAGAAACAUCAAAGACAGACUUACUCAAGUGGACCUUAGAGUCAUCCACCAUUGUUAGAGCUUACUUAGAGAGUUGAGUAAACUUCAAAGAGUACCUUUUGUCAUAUUACCUUGCCUUAGAUUUAUGAACUCUUGGACCUUAGUCUCUCAUUUCAAGCGGAAAGAAAAAUGUCCACGAAAACAAUUUUAAACUUUUCCUAGUCCAAUGGGCCUGCAUCAACAACCCUUUUCUCCUUCCAUUGCUUAAACUAAAUUUGAGCCACUCCCUUCACCUGACAAGCGUCCAAAUCGACACUCUCGACCAAAGUGACACCCAUAAUCUUAUUAAUCUUCUAUACAUCCUCAAUGAACUCUAGUGGAUCCUCUCCCACCUUAAUACAAUGAAAGUCUAAGGGUUCAUCUAAGUAAAUCCCUAGACUCUAGUUGUAGUCGUAUAAAUAUUGUGGUUUACUGGAGCCACAAUUUUUUGGUGGUCCUGAGCAAGGGCGGCGUCACCUUGGUACAAGGGGCAUCGGAUCCUCCGACAGAAAAUUAUACUGUUUAUACAUGGUUAAAAUAAUAUUUUAUGUAUAUAUAGUACAUAUCAAACCCUUCGUCUACUCUGUGUGUCUAAUUCUAUGAAUUUUGAACCCCCUUAUUGAAAAUUCUGGCUCCGACACUGGUCCUGAGCAGUAAUAACUUAGGAUAGCACUUGAAAAGUAGCUCUAAGCUCAACAUUAAUGACUUGUUUAGCCAAAGGGUCUGUGGGAGUUGGAGGUGCUUGAUGCUUUCUUCUUCAUGUUUCUUUUGACAUAAGCUCUUUCGGGAGGCAUGUGGCUGUAAACGUGUAAAUCACGAAUUAGAAUGAGACUUAGAGUUUCACUCUAUCGUAUGAUUAAAAGUAUUUAAGUGCUACAAAACUUUUUUAGCCUCAUAUUUAUAGAUGUGACAUGCUUCUUACCCAUGGGUAAAACUCUAUUUAACAUAACUUUUAGACAACCCAAGAGAGUCGAACCUAAUGCUCUUAUAUCAAGUUUGUUAUGUCUCGAGACAAUCUCCUAGGCACGACAUAGUGCCUAGAGCCUUAAGUGAUCCCAAGAUAACCUCAUGACAUGCCAUGACACCAAAAUUCGCAUAAUAAGACGGGAAAAAUAAUGAAUGCGCAAGUAAAGUCUAAAAGAAAUAUAUUUGUUCAAAUAGACGACAUUUGAUACCAUAAGCUGAAUAUGAACUAAUUUUAUGGAAAAACUCUACUAGAUGAGUCACUAGGACAAAUGCCUAGCUAACUCUAAUACAUGAAAUUUAGAAAAAGUACAGAAAGAAAGAUAAACGUCAUUUGUCACUUCUCGAGGCUACCACCUAGACAUAAUACAGGACCCCCAAACUAAUCCCGAGUCUAAUAACUAAUAAAUACUAAGUAGCUCAUAAAUCAUGAUAACUGAAGCUAAUAUGAGAGAUACUUUAUCUGAAAGUAUCUAAAUCAUGAUAGUCUUGGAGAUGUACUUGAAAUAGCAUAAUUCUAAAUCGCAAAAAUACUUGUAUCCUAUGGGUUCAUGAAAAUACCAUUGAAAUAUAGAAUUACACUUAGAAUCAUGAAAUUGAAGGCUAAUCAUGAAGAAUAAAUGAAAUUCAUCAAGAAUCCAAUGAUGAUCAUAGGAAUCAUAAACUUGAAGAAAAAGGGGGGGGGGGGGGUCUUUUUGGUACUCAAUGGGUGAAGGGAUACUCAUUGAUUAAUCCCAUGGACUUGGAGUAGAAA
This 8234-nucleotide long non-coding RNA is filed under the name Solanum lycopersicum (tomato). Its description in RNAcentral is "long non-coding RNA (SLYC_LNC000694)". Lineage: Eukaryota; Viridiplantae; Streptophyta; Magnoliopsida; Solanales; Solanaceae. The record is from RNAcentral.